CUUCUUUUUCACCGGAGCUUGCUCCACCGGAAAAAGAGGAGUGGCGAACGGGUGAGUAACACGUGGGUAACCUGCCCAUCAGAAGGGGAUAACACUUGGAAACAGGUGCUAAUACCGUAUAACAAUCGAAACCGCAUGGUUUUGAUUUGAAAGGCGCUUUCGGGUGUCGCUGAUGGAUGGACCCGCGGUGCAUUAGCUAGUUGGUGAGGUAACGGCUCACCAAGGCCACGAUGCAUAGCCGACCUGAGAGGGUGAUCGGCCACAUUGGGACUGAGACACGGCCCAAACUCCUACGGGAGGCAGCAGUAGGGAAUCUUCGGCAAUGGACGAAAGUCUAACCGAGCAACGCCGCGUGAGUGAAGAAGGUUUUCGGAUCGUAAAACUCUGUUGUUAGAGAAGAACAAGGAUGAGAGUAACUGUUCAUCCCUUGACGGUAUCUAACCAGAAAGCCACGGCUAACUACGUGCCAGCAGCCGCGGUAAUACGUAGGUGGCAAGCGUUGUCCGGAUUUAUUGGGCGUAAAGCGAGCGCAGGCGGUUUCUUAAGUCUGAUGUGAAAGCCCCCGGCUCAACCGGGGAGGGUCAUUGGAAACUGGGAGACUUGAGUGCAGAAGAGGAGAGUGGAAUUCCAUGUGUAGCGGUGAAAUGCGUAGAUAUAUGGAGGAACCCAGUGGCGAGGCGGCUCUCUGGUCUGUACUGACGCUGAGCUCGAAGCGUGGGAGCAACAGGAUAGAUACCUGGU
This 741-nucleotide ribosomal RNA is filed under the name uncultured bacterium. RNAcentral describes it as "bacterial SSU rRNA". It matches the Rfam family "Bacterial small subunit ribosomal RNA", at positions 69 to 791 of the family's 1533-position model. The record is from RNAcentral.